RNAcentral lists this ribosomal RNA (498 nucleotides) under uncultured bacterium. RNAcentral's name for it is "partial 16S ribosomal RNA". It matches the Rfam family "Bacterial small subunit ribosomal RNA", at positions 30 to 523 of the family's 1533-position model. The record is from RNAcentral.
AUUGAACGCUGGCGGCAUGCUUUACACAUGCAAGUCGAACGGUAACAGGCCGCAAGGUGCUGACGAGUGGCGAACGGGUGAGUAAUGCAUCGGAACGUGCCCAGUCGUGGGGGAUAACGCAGCGAAAGCUGUGCUAAUACCGCAUACGAUCUAUGGAUGAAAGCGGGGGACCGUAAGGCCUCGCGCGAUUGGAGCGGCCGGUGUCAGAUUAGGUAGUUGGUGGGGUAAAGGCUCACCAAGUCAACGAUCUGUAGCUGGUCUGAGAGGACGACCAGCCACACUGGGACUGAGACACGGCCCAGACUCCUACGGGAGGCAGCAGUGGGGAAUUUUGGACAAUGGGCGCAAGCCUGAUCCAGCAAUGCCGCGUGCAGGAAGAAGGCCUUCGGGUUGUAAACUGCUUUUGUACGGAACGAAAAGGUUUGGGUUAAUACCCUGGGCCGAUGACGGUACCGUAAGAAUAAGCACCGGCUAACUACGUGCCAGCCGCCGCGGUAA